CAACCUUUGCAGAUUCUAAAGUGGAACAAAUGUUGCACAAGAAAGAGGUGAGUUACUUUAUAUUGUACUUGCAUUGUCACCAAAAUUUGGAAUUUAUUUCAAAAAUCUAGUUAGACAUGUGUAUUUGAUUUUUUACAUAUAUAAUAACAAAAGUUUAUGUGAUGAAAAAAUGCACGAGCCCAACAAGAAAUUUUCUAGAUUUAAUUUCAUAUUUUAUUCAUCUAAGAAAUCGGGUUCAAUUCAUAUACUAUAUCAGGUAACAUUGGGAAAAUCAAAAGAAGAUUUGUUAGCAAAAGAAAAAAAAGUUGUGCACUUAGAUCUUUCUAUUCAGGUUUCAAUUAUUAUUACAAGAUUUAGUGCAUUUUGCUAAAGAUUUUCAUGAUAUGUUUUCCACAGAAAAUUAUAAUCAUGGCUUAGUGAAAGUAAAGAUUCUUUUGAUCACUUUAACGGAUGUUGGUGAAACUUUUAAUAUUCUUUCCAUAGUAGUGAGUUUUUAACUUUUUUAUUGCAAUGGAGAAAUUGUAUAACUAAUAUAAGAAUAAUGAUUGAUCUAACAAUAUUUAUAUUGGUUUUGUAAUGUUAGAUGAUGUUGAUACACCUGAGAAUUUUGAUGAUGCACAUUUGGAUAUGCCUCUACCAGGUAAUAGUUAGACAUGAUAGAUAGUAUAUUUUGAAUCUUCUAGAAUUUAUUAAUCGAGCAAAUGAUGAAUAAUAUUGUGUCAUUGUUAGAAAUUUCAAAAAUAAAAAAGAAAGCUAAAAACAUUAGCAUGAGGUCAUAAAGUCUGGUGAACAUGAAGAUCAAAGAUCCUCAGGCAUGCACAUCUAAACAUUCUAAUUUUAAAUUGAUAUCGCCUAUGUUAAUCUAUUUAUGUUUUGAACUACCACUUGUUACUAUUGUGUAAUUACCAUGAAUAUGAACCAGUACACAUGUGUACCGUACUUGCUUAGCUCCAACAACUUAUAAAACAUAUACAAAUAUAAUUAAGCAACUUUAUUUGUAGAUGAAUUUGUGGAGAGAGCAACUGAUUGCAAACUUGUUGAAGAUUCUCAUAUGGAGUCACAUUUACCUUUGGCAGGUAAUUAUUCAACCAAUUAGAUAAAUUUUCGUUUUUAAUAUUCUUCAUUGUGAACAAUAUUAACUCAAUCAUUUAGGCACACUAUACCAGGAGAAACAGGACCUUAUGGGAAAAACAUCAAAGAAGACUAAAAUAACUCAAGCUAAGGACAAACAUAUAGCUAAGGGUACAAACUAUUGUCAUUAUAUAGACACUUAAUCUUUGAAGUGUUCUUGUAUGAUUGAUGGGAGUUUCUGCGCAACAUUAUCAGCAAAGAAGGCAAAAAAAAAAUGAAGUCUAAUAUCUUAAAAGACAAGAUACAAAGCAUAUCUGAUUCAUCCCACCAACUUACUGAAGUUGUUGUCCAGCAUAAUGAAGGUUAGUAUUCUACAUGAGACAACGGUGUUAAUAGUUCUAAAUCAAACCAUCAACGACAUAUAUUAUGCAAAUACAUUGUGUUUGUCAUUAACUAAUUUUAUUAAUAUUAUCAUCAACUUUUAGGCAAAAGAGUCCCACAAACACCAACACUCAAGUCAAGGAGUGGCUGAACAAUCAAGCGAAGAACAUUGGGCUAAUGAAGUGAAAGAUUUUAUGAGACUUUCAAGCAACUUGUGUAUGUACUUUGUACAAUUCUCUAGCUAUGACUUUUGGCUCUAUUACAC
Molecule: long non-coding RNA, 1717 nt
Filed under: Salvia miltiorrhiza (redroot sage)
Lineage: Eukaryota; Viridiplantae; Streptophyta; Magnoliopsida; Lamiales; Lamiaceae
Description: long non-coding RNA (SMIL_LNC005125)
Source: RNAcentral